This 1170-nucleotide long non-coding RNA is filed under the name Salmo salar (Atlantic salmon). RNAcentral's name for it is "lncRNA (ENSSSAG00000098324.1)". Lineage: Eukaryota; Metazoa; Chordata; Actinopteri; Salmoniformes; Salmonidae. The record is from RNAcentral.
UGUCAAACAGUGGACAGGAAUAUGCUGUGUCUAUAAAAUGUGAUGUCUGAGGAAACCUAUAACCUAGCUGUCCAAUGGUUGCCACGCCUAGGUUUAUUGUUGCCAUGCUGGGGUGGAAAGGUCUCUCUCUCUCUCAAUUCAAUUCAAUAGACUUUAUUGGCAUGGGUAACAUAUGUUUACAUUGCCAGAGCAAGUGGAAUAGACUGUAAACAAAAGGGAAAUAAAGAAUAAGAAAUGAGCAUUUAACAUUACACACACAACAGUUUUAAAAUAAUAUAGACAUUUAAAAUGUUAUAUUAUUGGCUAUGUACAGUGCUGUACAUAGUUGAAGUAUGAAAGGGAAAACAAAUAAAUACAGGUUGUAUUUACAAUGGUGUUUGUGCUCCACUGUUUGCCCUUUUCUUGUGGCAACAGGUCGCAAAUAUUUCUGCUGUGAUGGCACACUGUGAUAUUUCACCUAAUAGAUAUGGGAGUUUAUCAAGAUUGGAUUUGUUUUCAAAUUCUAUGUGGGUUUCUGUAAUCAGGUAAAUAUGUGUCUCUAAUAUGGUCAUACAUCAGGCAGGAGGUUCUAAAGUGCAGCUCAGUUUCCACCUCAUUUUGUGGGCAGUGGACACAUAUCCUGUCUUCUCUUGAGAGCCAGGUCUGCCUAUGACGGCCUCUCUCGAUAGCAAAGUCAUGCUCACUGAGUCUGUACACAAUCAAAGCUUUUUAUUUUGGGUCAGUCACAGUGGUCAGGUAUUCUGCUACUGGAUAUUCUCUGUUUAGGGCCAAAUAACAUUCCAGUUUGCUCAGUUUUUUGGUUGAUUCUUUCCAAUAUGUCAAGUUAUUAUCUUUUUGUUUUCUCAUGAUUUGGUUGGGUCUAAUUGUGUUGCUGACCUGGGGCUCUGUGGGGUCUGUUUGUGUUUGUGAACAGAGUCCCAGUACCAGCUGGCUGAUGGAACUCUUCUCCAGGUUCAUCUCUCUGUCGAUGUGUUAGGGCCGUGUGAAUAGCGAUGGAAAUGUCAUCGUCCGUGGAGCUGAUUGGAGUGGGUCCAAUGUGCCUGGCAUUCUGGACUUGAUGUAGGCCAUGACGAGCCUCUUGAAGCACUUCAUGAUGACUGGGGUAAGUGGGACAAGGCGAUAGUCAUUUGAGCAUGUCACCUUGUUUUCCUUGGGCACCGGGAUGAUGGU